Molecule: ribosomal RNA, 301 nt
Filed under: uncultured bacterium
Lineage: Bacteria
Description: partial 16S ribosomal RNA
Rfam family: Bacterial small subunit ribosomal RNA
Source: RNAcentral
CAGCCGCCGCGGUAAUACGUAGGGUGCGAGCGUUAAUCGGAAUUACUGGGCGUAAAGCGGGCGCAGACGGUUACUUAAGCAGGAUGUGAAAUCCCCGGGCUCAACCUGGGAACUGCGUUCUGAACUGGGUAACUAGAGUGUGUCAGAGGGAGGUAGAAUUCCACGUGUAGCAGUGAAAUGCGUAGAGAUGUGGAGGAAUACCGAUGGCGAAGGCAGCCUCCUGGGAUAACACUGACGUUCAUGCCCGAAAGCGUGGGUAGCAAACAGGAUUAGAUACCCCUGUAGUCCCUGUCUCUUAUAA